CUCCCUUUGAAAGAGCUAUCAUAUCAUCUCUCUUCGAGUGACUUCCAAUCUGUCCAUUUCACGGCGAAGAGGAAGGUACUGGUUUAUUUCAAGAUGACUUUAAAGGAAAAUUACCGUGCAAAUGCUAGAAGUUUAAUGACUGCAAGACCAAGUCCUAAUUCAGACUCUUCGAUCAUUCUACUACUCUGAUGUCUAUGGAUUUGACACAAAUCAUCAGUCAAGGCUGUAAAUUCAGACAUGCCUAUUGACCUGUGACUGAAAAAGUAUUUAGUGUUUACAUCAUUUGUUUUCAUCCGGAAGAUCUAAAACUCUCAAAUGAUGGGAAAUCCCACUUGUAAGUUGUUACCUACCUCCUCUCAGCAGUUUUUAGCAUUGCCUGCAUCCGUUCUUCUAUUGUUGCUUUAAUUAAGAAUCUAUGUACAAUAGUAGGUCUAGAAGGCAAAUAAUAAUUUUAAGUUUAAAGACCAUCUUAA
This 473-nucleotide long non-coding RNA is filed under the name Mus pahari (shrew mouse). RNAcentral's name for it is "predicted gene 16577 (MGP_PahariEiJ_G0003098.1)". Lineage: Eukaryota; Metazoa; Chordata; Mammalia; Rodentia; Muridae. The record is from RNAcentral.